RNAcentral lists this ribosomal RNA (141 nucleotides) under Breviatea sp. Its description in RNAcentral is "partial small subunit ribosomal RNA". It matches the Rfam family "Eukaryotic small subunit ribosomal RNA", at positions 1297 to 1460 of the family's 1831-position model. Lineage: Eukaryota; Breviatea. The record is from RNAcentral.
GUUGGUGGAGUGAUUUGUCUGCUUAAUUGCGAUAACGAACGAGACCUUAACCUGCUAAAUAGUUAAGUGAAGCCUAGCUUCAGGUGACUUCUUAGAGGGACUAUACGAGAAAAUCGUAUGGAAGUUUGAGGCAAUAACAGG